AGGAUGCUUCGGGAGCGGCCCCCAUCUAAGUGCCCUGGAACGGGCCGUCAUAGAGGGUGAGAAUCCCGUCUGGGAUGGGGUGCCCGCGCCCGUGUGAAGCUCCUUCGACNAGUCGAGUUGUUUGGGAAUGCCGCUCUGAAUGGGUGGUAAAUUUCAUCUAAAGCUAAAUACUGGCCGGAGACCUAUUGCGCACUAGUAGAGUGAUCAAAAGAUGAAAAGCACUUUGAAAAGAGAGUUAAACAGCACGUGAAAUUGUUGAAAGGGAAGCGCUUGCAACCAGACUCGCCCGCAGGGUUCAACCCGCUUUCGUGCCGGUGUACUUCCCCGCGGGAGGGCCCGCUUCGGGUUGGGCGGNCGGUCAAAGGUCCUCAGAAUGUAACGCCCCCU
This 387-nucleotide ribosomal RNA is filed under the name soil fungal sp. DM2-404. Its description in RNAcentral is "eukaryotic LSU rRNA". It matches the Rfam family "Eukaryotic large subunit ribosomal RNA", at positions 156 to 547 of the family's 3401-position model. The record is from RNAcentral. Lineage: Eukaryota; Fungi.